UACCAGCACCCCGAGUGGUCGGGACGAUUAUUGGGCCUAAAGCAUCCGUAGCCGGUUCUACAAGUCUUCCGUUAAAUCCACCUGCUUAACAGAUGGGCUGCGGAGGAUACUAUGGAGCUAGGAGGCGGGAGAGGCAAGCGGUACUUAGUGGGUAGGGGUAAAAUCCGUUGAUCCAUUGAAGACCACCAGUGGCGAAGGCGGCUUGCCAGAACGCACUCGACGGUGAGGGAUGAAAGCCAGGGGAGCAAACGGG
RNAcentral lists this ribosomal RNA (253 nucleotides) under uncultured bacterium. Its description in RNAcentral is "partial 16S ribosomal RNA". It matches the Rfam family "Archaeal small subunit ribosomal RNA", at positions 474 to 727 of the family's 1478-position model. The record is from RNAcentral.